RNAcentral lists this ribosomal RNA (775 nucleotides) under uncultured Neocallimastigales. RNAcentral describes it as "partial large subunit ribosomal RNA". It matches the Rfam family "Eukaryotic large subunit ribosomal RNA", at positions 24 to 644 of the family's 3401-position model. The record is from RNAcentral. Lineage: Eukaryota; Fungi; Neocallimastigomycota; Neocallimastigomycetes; Neocallimastigales.
UUAUGUGAUCGUCUCUCGCAUAUCAAUAAGCGGAGGAAAAGAAACUAACAAGGAUUCCCCUAGUAACGGCGAGUGAAGCGGGAAGAGCUCAAAUUUGAAAUCUUAAAGGGUUUCCCUUUACGAAUUGUAGUUUAAAGAAGUGUUUUCUGUUGAGGUUUUGGUAAAAGUUCUUUGGAAUAGGACAUCAUAGAGGGUGAGAAUCCCGUAUUUGACCUUUACUUUCAACUUUGUGGUACACUUUCAAAGAGUCGGAUUGUUUGGGAAUGCAGUCCAAAAUGGGUGGUAAAUUUCAUCUAAAGCUAAAUAUUGGCGAGAGACCGAUAGCGAACAAGUACCGUGAGGGAAAGAUGAAAAGAACUUUGAAAAGAGAGUUAAACAGUACGUGAAAUUGUCAAAAGGGAAGCGUUUGACACCAGUGUUGUUUUUCUGAAAAUCAAUUAAAGAACUGUUUAUGCUAAGCUGUUUAGACUUUAUCAGCUAUCUGUUUAGUUUUGAGCUUUUCUUUAAUGCACUUUUCAGUUAACAAGUCAACAUCAAUUUCUUUUGCUGUAAAAAAGCUUGAGGAAGGUGGCUUGAGAUUCGUCUUAAGUGUUUAUAGCCUCUUGCCUAUGCAGUCGGAGAGAUUGAGGUCUGCAGCGUAGAUCCUUCGGGGCUAAAUGCAUUUGUGCUAAGUUAUAGUAUUUUAUAGACAACUUGUUGACUAUGAUUUGUCUUGUAGCUUACUCGCUUAUGUUAUUUUACCUACGCUUAGGAUGUUGAUAUCGCGCUCUCACUG